This 582-nucleotide ribosomal RNA is filed under the name Bacillus sp. (in: firmicutes). Its description in RNAcentral is "bacterial SSU rRNA". It matches the Rfam family "Bacterial small subunit ribosomal RNA", at positions 41 to 604 of the family's 1533-position model. The record is from RNAcentral. Lineage: Bacteria; Bacillati; Bacillota; Bacilli; Caryophanales; Bacillaceae.
GGGGGGCGGCUAUACAUGCAGUCGAGCGGACAGAUGGGAGCUUGCUCCCUGAUGUUAGCGGCGGACGGGUGAGUAACACGUGGGUAACCUGCCUGUAAGACUGGGAUAACUCCGGGAAACCGGGGCUAAUACCGGAUGGUUGUUUGAACCGCAUGGUUCAAACAUAAAAGGUGGCUUCGGCUACCACUUACAGAUGGACCCGCGGCGCAUUAGCUAGUUGGUGAGGUAACGGCUCACCAAGGCAACGAUGCGUAGCCGACCUGAGAGGGUGAUCGGCCACACUGGGACUGAGACACGGCCCAGACUCCUACGGGAGGCAGCAGUAGGGAAUCUUCCGCAAUGGACGAAAGUCUGACGGAGCAACGCCGCGUGAGUGAUGAAGGUUUUCGGAUCGUAAAGCUCUGUUGUUAGGGAAGAACAAGUACCGUUCUAAUAGGGCGGUACUUUGACGGAACCAAACCCAAAAGCCAGGGUUAUCUACGUGCCCCCAGCCCCGGGAAAGGUAGUCGGCAAGCUUUGACCGAAAAUCAUGGGGCUUAAAGGUUUGGGCAGGCGCUUUCUUAUCUCUGAGGUGAUGCCCCC